RNAcentral lists this ribosomal RNA (497 nucleotides) under uncultured bacterium. RNAcentral's name for it is "partial 16S ribosomal RNA". It matches the Rfam family "Bacterial small subunit ribosomal RNA", at positions 28 to 507 of the family's 1533-position model. The record is from RNAcentral.
GAUGAACGCUGGCGGCGUGCCUAAUACAUGCAAGUCGAGCGAACAGACGAGGAGCUUGCUCCUCUGACGUUAGCGGCGGACGGGUGAGUAACACGUGGAUAACCUACCUAUAAGACUGGGAUAACUUCGGGAAACCGGAGCUAAUACCGGAUAAUAUAUUGAACCGCAUGGUUCAAUAGUGAAAGACGGUUUUGCUGUCACUUAUAGAUGGAUCCGCGCCGCAUUAGCUAGUUGUUAAGGUAACGGCCUACCAAGGCAACGAUGCGUAGCCGACCUGAGGGGGUGAUCGGCCACACUGGAACUGAGACACGGUCCAGACUCCUACGGGAGGCAGCAGUAGGGAAUCUUCCGCAAAGGGCGAAAGCCUGACGGAGCAACGCCGCGUGAGUGAUGAAGGUCUUCGGAUCGUAAAACUCUGUUAUUAGGGAAGAACAAAUGUGUAAGUAACUAUGCACGUCUUGACGGUACCUAAUCAGAAAGCCACGGCUAACUACGUG